RNAcentral lists this small RNA (304 nucleotides) under Vigna angularis var. angularis. RNAcentral's name for it is "Non-protein coding transcript". Lineage: Eukaryota; Viridiplantae; Streptophyta; Magnoliopsida; Fabales; Fabaceae. The record is from RNAcentral.
UCGAACCCUAGCCGCGUUUCUUCCUUAACCAGGUUUCGACCCUCUUCCACGAUCACCACCACCACACACAGUUUCAGACUGAUCAACAGGUUGCAAAGGCUCACAGCAGUAUGAACAAGAUUUGAAUGCAGUAUGGGCAAUUUGAGCCAGACCCCUUUCUUUCUCUGCAAAAAACGCAUUGGAAAUAAUUACUGAAGCUUCCAAUAUGUUCAUUGAAGAAGAGCUCAGAAUCCACAGGCUCCUGAUUCUCCAAGCUUACGACAACUCCUCCAUAAUGAUCCUCAACAACACUAAGCAAUUCAAC